AUGGAGCAGUCAGAGCUGUCAGUCUGCAUGAAGCAGCCAGAGCUGUCACUCUGCAAGGAGCUGCCAGGCUGCAGGGAGCUGCCAGUCUGCAAGGAGCUGCCAGUCUGCAAGGAGCUGCCAGUCUGCAAGGAGCUGCCAGUCUGCAAGGAGCUGUCAGUCUGCAAGGAACUGUCAGCCUGCAUGGAGCAGUCAGAGCUGUCAGUCUGCAAGGAGCUGUCAGCCUGCAUGGAGCUGUCAGUCUGCAAGGAGCUGCCAGUCUGCAGGGAGCUGUCAGUCUGCAAGGAGCUGUCAGUCUGCAAGGAGCUGCCAGUCUGCAGGGUGCUGUCAGCCUGCAUGGAGCAGUCAGAGCUGUCAGUCUGCAUGAAGCAGCCAGAGCUGCCAGUCUGCAAGGAGCUGUCAGCCUGCAUGGAGCAGUCAGAGCUGUCAGUCUGCAUAGAGCAGCUAGAUCCGCCAGUCAGCCAUGAUCUUCUAGAUCUGCCAGUCAACCAGAUUCUUCCAGAUCAGCCUGUCAACCAGAAUCUUCCAGAUCUGCUAGUCAACCAGAAUCUUCCAGAUCUGCUAGUCAACCUCAAUCUUCCAGAUACGCCAGCCAGCCAGGAUCUACCGGAGCCUACUACCUACCUGAGCUUCAUCUCAGUACUGGGCUUCCUCUCAGUACUGGGCUUCCCCUCAGUUCCGGGCUGCCCCUCAGUUCCGGGCUGCCCCUCAGUCCCGAGCUGCCCCUCAGUCCCGAGCUGCCCCUCAGUCCCGAGCUGCCUCAGUCCCGAGUUGCCCCUCAGUCCCGAGUUGCCCCUCAGUCCCGAGCUGUCCCUCAGUCACGAGCUGCUCCUCAGUUCUGUGGGGUUCUGGGUGAGGACUAUUAGGCCAUGGUCGGCGGCGAGGGUGGAUUAUCCCAGGACGCGAAGGGGAGGAACUAUGACAUUUAUGGAGUGGGGUCCAUGUCCCGAGCCGGAGCCGCCACCAUGGACAGACGCCCACCCGGACCCUCCCUAUGGUUUUGAGGUGCGUCCGGGAGUCCGCACCUUGGGGGGGGGGGGGGGGUUCUGUCACGCCUUGGUCAUUGUAUUUUGUGUUUUCGUUAUAUAUUUAGUCAGGCCAGGGUGUGACAGGGGUUUGUUAUUGUAUUUCGUAUUGGGGUUUGUAGUAUUUGAGAUCGCGGCUGAUUAG
RNAcentral lists this long non-coding RNA (1167 nucleotides) under Oncorhynchus kisutch (coho salmon). RNAcentral's name for it is "lncRNA (ENSOKIG00005049591.1)". Lineage: Eukaryota; Metazoa; Chordata; Actinopteri; Salmoniformes; Salmonidae. The record is from RNAcentral.